This 269-nucleotide ribosomal RNA is filed under the name uncultured prokaryote. Its description in RNAcentral is "partial 16S ribosomal RNA". It matches the Rfam family "Bacterial small subunit ribosomal RNA", at positions 524 to 792 of the family's 1533-position model. The record is from RNAcentral.
UACGUAGGAAGCAAGCGUUAUCCGGAUUUACUGGGCGUAAAGAGAGCGUAGGCGGUUCUUCAAGUCGGAUGUAAAAUCUCCCGGCUUAACCGGGAGGGACCAUUCGAUACUGUUGGGCUAGAGAGCAGCAGGGGGAGGUGGAAUUCCCGGUGUAGUGGUGAAAUGCGUAGAUAUCGGGAGGAAUACCAGUGGCGAAGGCGGCCUCCUGGGCUGUUGCUGACGCUGAGGCUCGAAAGCGUGGGGAGCGAACAGGAUUAGAUACCCCCGUA